This 460-nucleotide ribosomal RNA is filed under the name uncultured bacterium. RNAcentral describes it as "partial 16S ribosomal RNA". It matches the Rfam family "Bacterial small subunit ribosomal RNA", at positions 338 to 795 of the family's 1533-position model. The record is from RNAcentral.
CCUACGUGAGGCAGCAGUGAGGAAUAUUGGUCAAUGGGCGCGAGCCUGAACCAGCCAAGUAGCGUGAAGGAUGACUGCCCUACGGGUUGUAAACUUCUUUUAUAAAGGAAUAAAGUGAGACACGUGUGCCUUUUUGUAUGUACUUUAUGAAUAAGGAUCGGCUAACUCCGUGCCAGCAGCCGCGGUAAUACGGAGGAUCCGAGCGUUAUCCGGAUUUAUUGGGUUUAAAGGGAGCGUAGAUGGGUUGUUAAGUCAGUUGUGAAAGUUUGCGGGUCAACCGUAAAAUUGCAAUUGAUACUGGCAGUCUUGAGUACAGUUGAGGUAGGCGGAAUUCGUCGUGUAGCGGUGAAAUGCUUAGAUAUCACGAAGAACUCCGAUUGCGAAGGCAGCUUACUAAACUGCCACUGACAUUGAUGCUCGAAAGUGUGGGUAUCAAACAGGAUUAGAUACCCCUGUAGUC